Molecule: transfer RNA, 72 nt
Filed under: Camelus bactrianus (Bactrian camel)
Lineage: Eukaryota; Metazoa; Chordata; Mammalia; Artiodactyla; Camelidae
Also listed under: 2 other names
Rfam family: tRNA
About the family: Transfer RNA (tRNA) molecules are approximately 80 nucleotides in length. Their secondary structure includes four short double-helical elements and three loops (D, anti-codon, and T loops). Further hydrogen bonds mediate the characteristic L-shaped molecular structure. tRNAs have two regions of fundamental functional importance: the anti-codon, which is responsible for specific mRNA codon recognition, and the 3' end, to which the tRNAs corresponding amino acid is attached (by aminoacyl-tRNA synthetases). tRNAs cope with the degeneracy of the genetic code in two manners: having more than one tRNA (with a specific anti-codon) for a particular amino acid; and 'wobble' base-pairing, i.e. permitting non-standard base-pairing at the 3rd anti-codon position.
Source: Rfam by way of RNAcentral
GAGGGUAGAGCUCAGUGGCAGAGUGUGUGCUUAGCAUGCACGAGGUCCUGGGUUUAAUUCCCAGUCCCUCCA